RNAcentral lists this ribosomal RNA (358 nucleotides) under uncultured bacterium. RNAcentral describes it as "bacterial SSU rRNA". It matches the Rfam family "Bacterial small subunit ribosomal RNA", at positions 28 to 386 of the family's 1533-position model. The record is from RNAcentral.
GUUGAACGCUGGCGGCGUGCUUAACACAUGCAAGUCGAUCGGUAACAGGUGUAGCAAUACAUGCUGACGAGAGGCGGACGGGUGAGUAAUGCUUGGGAAUCUGCCUAUUAGUGGGGGACAACCCGGGGAAACUCGGGCUAAUACCGCAUACGCUCUACGGAGGAAAGCCGGGGACCGCAAGGCCUGGCGCUAAUAGAUGAGCCCAAGUCGGAUUAGCUAGUUGGUAGGGUAACGGCCUACCAAGGCGACAAUCCGUAGCUGGUCUGAGAGGACGACCAGCCACACCGGAACUGAGACACGGUCCGGACUCCUACGGGAGGCAGCAGUGGGGAAUAUUGGACAAUGGGGGCAACCCUGA